RNAcentral lists this ribosomal RNA (497 nucleotides) under uncultured bacterium. RNAcentral describes it as "partial 16S ribosomal RNA". It matches the Rfam family "Bacterial small subunit ribosomal RNA", at positions 28 to 507 of the family's 1533-position model. The record is from RNAcentral.
GAUGAACGCUGGCGGCGUGCCUAAUACAUGCAAGUCGAGCGAACAGACGAGGAGCUUGCUCCUCUGACGUUAGCGGCGGACGGGUGAGUAACACGUGGAUAACCUACCUAUAAGACUGGGAUAACUUCGGGAAACCGGAGCUAAUACCGGAUAAUAUAUUGAACCGCAUGGUUCAAUAGUGAAAGACGGUUUUGCUGUCACUUAUAGAUGGAUCCGCGCCUCAUUAGCUAGUUGGGAAGGUAAAGGCUUACCAAGGGAACGAUGCGUAGGCGACCUGUGAGGGUGGUCGGCCACACUGGAAGUGAGACGCGGUCCAGACUCCUACGGGAGGCAGCAGUAGGGAAUCUUCCGCAAUGGGCGAAAGCCUGACGGAGCAACGCCGCGUGAGAGAUAGCGGUCUUCGGAUCGUAAAACUCUGUUAUUAGGGAAGAACAAAUGUGUAAGUAACUAUGCACGGCUUGACGGUACCUAAUCAGAAAGCCACGGCUAACUACGUG